AACCCAUUACCAAAAACCCUAGCCUCUCAAAAAAAGCUUCGAUGACUGAAAACAAGAAGAGGACUCAAAGUGAAGAAGCUUAUUUAUUGAUCUCCAGCAAUGAUUAUUAGAUGCCAUGGUAAGAAGAGAGCCUGCUAGCCAAGACCAUAUGAAAGCAACUCAAGAAAGUAGAGUGACUGGAGAUAUAUUUUUUGAUAUGUAAGUUUCUGCUUAAAAGGAUUGGUUGUUGCUGCUGUAGGAUAGUUAAUUUAAAAAGAUAUGUUUCCUACAUUAAUUACUCCUUGGGUAAAGGUGGGGAUGUCACAAUUUUGAACUAAUCAAAUUUGCAGAACCCAUAAGGAAAUCAUUUGAGAAGCUUCAGGCAAUCACCAUUAGAAAAUUUGCCCCUUCCGUUAGUUUUUAAGUUGGUGAGGUUAGUGUGACCAAAGGUGCUCUAGUUUAACAAAGUUAUAGGAUUAAAGGUGCUCUAGUUUAUAUUUGAAGGACAAAAAUGAACCUAUUCCUAUAGAUAAGGGAUAAUUUUAGUCAAAAACUCUAUAUUUAUAUAUUAUAUAAUCAAAGACUUAGACUUGGAUUUGACUUGGGCGCGGGCCGUGUCGGAUCCUAAAGUUAAUUAUUUUACUUUAAAUUUUAAUUUGUGACAGAAAAUCAGUUUAUUUGAAUUAUAAAUUCGAAUAAACAGUUAUGUCUAUUAUGAAAGGGCCUUGUAUGGGUCGAAAUUUGGACGACCACGACCGAAACCAAGUAAUGCAGAGAGCAAGGUCCCUACGAUGUCGCUUCCUAAGGAUCGUCAUGAUGAACGACGAUCGACAGUGGCUAGCGAACGCACGACACUUGUAGUCGUGUUAGCAUGAUAGGAAACAAUGAGAAUAUGCCUUUGGAAUAUUCUUUAAGUUGUACUUUUUUCUUUUGAGAGUAAGAAGGGAGAUUGUCCCCUAUAAAAGGGGACCGGACACUCUUUAAAAAGGGGAGCUUCUGGGAUCACAAUUCUAAGAUCUAUAUACGACUUUUACUUGAAGCUGGGAAUAUCUAUUACAAAAUCUCUUUACAUUCA
This is a non-coding RNA of Nicotiana tabacum (common tobacco), 1054 nucleotides long. NCBI's taxonomy places the organism in Eukaryota, Viridiplantae, Streptophyta, Magnoliopsida, Solanales, Solanaceae. The record is from RefSeq and is a predicted model, not a curated record.